RNAcentral lists this ribosomal RNA (2906 nucleotides) under Salmonella enterica subsp. enterica. Its description in RNAcentral is "23S ribosomal RNA". It matches the Rfam family "Bacterial large subunit ribosomal RNA". The record is from RNAcentral. Lineage: Bacteria; Pseudomonadati; Pseudomonadota; Gammaproteobacteria; Enterobacterales; Enterobacteriaceae.
GGUUAAGCGACUAAGCGUACACGGUGGAUGCCCUGGCAGUCAGAGGCGAUGAAGGGCGUGCUAAUCUGCGAUAAGCGCCGGUAAGGUGAUAUGAACCGUUAUAACCGGCGAUACCCGAAUGGGGAAACCCAGUGUGACUCGUCACACUAUCAUUAACUGAAUCCAUAGGUUAAUGAGGCGAACCGGGGGAACUGAAACAUCUAAGUACCCCGAGGAAAAGAAAUCAACCGAGAUUCCCCCAGUAGCGGCGAGCGAACGGGGAGGAGCCCAGAGCCUGAAUCAGCAUGUGUGUUAGUGGAAGCGUCUGGAAAGGCGCGCGAUACAGGGUGACAGCCCCGUACACAAAAGCGCAUGUGCUGUGAGCUCGAUGAGUAGGGCGGGACACGUGGUAUCCUGUCUGAAUAUGGGGGGACCAUCCUCCAAGGCUAAAUACUCCUGACUGACCGAUAGUGAACCAGUACCGUGAGGGAAAGGCGAAAAGAACCCCGGCGAGGGGAGUGAAAAAGAACCUGAAACCGUGUACGUACAAGCAGUGGGAGCACCCUUUGGGGUGUGACUGCGUACCUUUUGUAUAAUGGGUCAGCGACUUAUAUUCUGUAGCAAGGUUAACCGAAUAGGGGAGCCGGAGGGAAACCGAGUCUUAAUUGGGCGUUAAGUUGCAGGGUAUAGACCCGAAACCCGGUGAUCUAGCCAUGGGCAGGUUGAAGGUUGGGUAACACUAACUGGAGGACCGAACCGACUAAUGUUGAAAAAUUAGCGGAUGACCUGUGGCUGGGGGUGAAAGGCCAAUCAAACCGGGAGAUAGCUGGUUCUCCCCGAAAGCUAUUUAGGUAGCGCCUCGUGAAUUCAUCUCCGGGGGUAGAGCACUGUUUCGGCUAGGGGGCCAUCCCGGCUUACCAACCCGAUGCAAACUGCGAAUACCGGAGAAUGUUAUCACGGGAGACACACGGCGGGUGCUAACGUCCGUCGUGAAGAGGGAAACAACCCAGACCGCCAGCUAAGGUCCCAAAGUCAUGGUUAAGUGGGAAACGAUGUGGGAAGGCCCAGACAGCCAGGAUGUUGGCUUAGAAGCAGCCAUCAUUUAAAGAAAGCGUAAUAGCUCACUGGUCGAGUCGGCCUGCGCGGAAGAUGUAACGGGGCUAAACCAUGCACCGAAGCUGCGGCAGCGACACUGAUGCGUUGUUGGGUAGGGGAGCGUUCUGUAAGCCUGUGAAGGUGGCCUGUGAGGGUUGCUGGAGGUAUCAGAAGUGCGAAUGCUGACAUAAGUAACGAUAAAGCGGGUGAAAAGCCCGCUCGCCGGAAGACCAAGGGUUCCUGUCCAACGUUAAUCGGGGCAGGGUGAGUCGACCCCUAAGGCGAGGCCGAAAGGCGUAGUCGAUGGGAAACGGGUUAAUAUUCCCGUACUUGGUGUUACUGCGAAGGGGGGACGGAGAAGGCUAUGUUGGCCGGGCGACGGUUGUCCCGGUUUAAGCGUGUAGGUGUGUGUUCCAGGUAAAUCCGGUUCACUUUAACACUGAGGCGUGAUGACGAGGCACUACGGUGCUGAAGCAACAAAUGCCCUGCUUCCAGGAAAAGCCUCUAAGCAUCAGGUAACAUCAAAUCGUACCCCAAACCGACACAGGUGGUCAGGUAGAGAAUACCAAGGCGCUUGAGAGAACUCGGGUGAAGGAACUAGGCAAAAUGGUGCCGUAACUUCGGGAGAAGGCACGCUGACACGUAGGUGAAGUGAUUUACUCACGGAGCUGAAGUCAGUCGAAGAUACCAGCUGGCUGCAACUGUUUAUUAAAAACACAGCACUGUGCAAACACGAAAGUGGACGUAUACGGUGUGACGCCUGCCCGGUGCCGGAAGGUUAAUUGAUGGGGUCAGCGCAAGCGAAGCUCCUGAUCGAAGCCCCGGUAAACGGCGGCCGUAACUAUAACGGUCCUAAGGUAGCGAAAUUCCUUGUCGGGUAAGUUCCGACCUGCACGAAUGGCGUAAUGAUGGCCAGGCUGUCUCCACCCGAGACUCAGUGAAAUUGAACUCGCUGUGAAGAUGCAGUGUACCCGCGGCAAGACGGAAAGACCCCGUGAACCUUUACUAUAGCUUGACACUGAACAUUGAGCCUUGAUGUGUAGGAUAGGUGGGAGGCUUUGAAGUGUGGACGCCAGUCUGCAUGGAGCCGACCUUGAAAUACCACCCUUUAAUGUUUGAUGUUCUAACGUGGACCCGUAAUCCGGGUUGCGGACAGUGUCUGGUGGGUAGUUUGACUGGGGCGGUCUCCUCCUAAAGAGUAACGGAGGAGCACGAAGGUUGGCUAAUCCUGGUCGGACAUCAGGAGGUUAGUGCAAUGGCAUAAGCCAGCUUGACUGCGAGCGUGACGGCGCGAGCAGGUGCGAAAGCAGGUCAUAGUGAUCCGGUGGUUCUGAAUGGAAGGGCCAUCGCUCAACGGAUAAAAGGUACUCCGGGGAUAACAGGCUGAUACCGCCCAAGAGUUCAUAUCGACGGCGGUGUUUGGCACCUCGAUGUCGGCUCAUCACAUCCUGGGGCUGAAGUAGGUCCCAAGGGUAUGGCUGUUCGCCAUUUAAAGUGGUACGCGAGCUGGGUUUAGAACGUCGUGAGACAGUUCGGUCCCUAUCUGCCGUGGGCGCUGGAGAACUGAGGGGGGCUGCUCCUAGUACGAGAGGACCGGAGUGGACGCAUCACUGGUGUUCGGGUUGUCAUGCCAAUGGCACUGCCCGGUAGCUAAAUGCGGAAGAGAUAAGUGCUGAAAGCAUCUAAGCACGAAACUUGCCCCGAGAUGAGUUCUCCCUGAGACUUAGAGUCUCCUGAAGGAACGUUGAAGACGACGACGUUGAUAGGCCGGGUGUGUAAGCGCAGCGAUGCGUUGAGCUAACCGGUACUAAUGAACCGUGAGGCUUAACCUU